UACGUAGGGGGCAAGCGUUAUCCGGAAUUACUGGGUGUAAAGGGAGCGUAGACGGCAGAGCAAGUCCGGAGUGAAAGCCCGGGGCCCAACCCCGGGACUGCUCUGGAAACUGUUAAGCUGGAGUGCGGGAGGGGCAGGCGGAAUUCCUAGUGUAGCGGUGAAAUGCGUAGAUAUUAGGAGGAACACCAGUGGCGAAGGCGGCUUACUGGACUGUAACUGACGUUGAGGCUCGAAAGCGUGGGGAGCAAACAGG
This 253-nucleotide ribosomal RNA is filed under the name uncultured bacterium. Its description in RNAcentral is "partial 16S ribosomal RNA". It matches the Rfam family "Bacterial small subunit ribosomal RNA", at positions 524 to 776 of the family's 1533-position model. The record is from RNAcentral.